UACGGAGGGUGCAAGCGUUGUCCGGAUUUAUUGGGUUUAAAGGGUGCGUAGGCGGCUCUUUAAGUCAGUGGUGAAAUCCUACAGCUUAACUGUAGAACAGCCAUUGAUACUGAAGAGCUUGAGUACAGACGAGGUAGGCGGAAUUUACGGUGUAGCAGUGAAAUGCGUAGAUAUCGUAAGGAAGGCCGGUGGCGAAAGCGAGCCUCUGGACAGUUACUGACGCUGAUGCACGAAGGCCAGGGGAGCAAACGGG
RNAcentral lists this ribosomal RNA (253 nucleotides) under uncultured bacterium. RNAcentral describes it as "partial 16S ribosomal RNA". It matches the Rfam family "Bacterial small subunit ribosomal RNA", at positions 524 to 776 of the family's 1533-position model. The record is from RNAcentral.